RNAcentral lists this ribosomal RNA (705 nucleotides) under Entamoeba nuttalli. RNAcentral describes it as "SSU rRNA". It matches the Rfam family "Eukaryotic small subunit ribosomal RNA", at positions 654 to 1325 of the family's 1831-position model. Lineage: Eukaryota; Evosea; Mastigamoebida; Endamoebidae. The record is from RNAcentral.
UGUGAUUUUAUACAUUUUGAAGACUUUGCAUAAGUAAAGUUUCUAGAAAUGUUAAAUUAAAAUCAAAGAAGGAAACAAUUCAAGUAAUUGAGUUGUUAUUACUUUGAAUAAAAUAAGGUGUUUAAAGCAAAACAUUAUGUUAAUGAAUAUUCAAGCAUGGGACAAUGCUGAGGGGAUGUCAAUAAGACAUUUCGAGAGAAGGAUUAAAAGGAACAAUUGGGGUGAUUCAGAAAAUAACGGGAGAGGUGAAAAUCCAUGAUCGCUAUAAGAUGCACGAGAGCGAAAGCAUUUCACUCAACUGUGUCCAUUAAUCAAGAACGAAAGUUAGGGGAUCGAAGACGAUCAGAUACCGUCGUAGUCCUAACUAUAAACGAUGUCAACCAAGGAUUGGAUGAAAUUCAGAUGUACAAAGAUGAAGAAGCAUUGUUUCUUAAUCUGAGUAUAUCAAUAUUACCUUGUUCAGAACUUAAAGAGAAAUCUUGAGUUUAUGGACUUCAGGGGGAGUAUGGUCACAAGGCUGAAACUUAAAGGAAUUGACGGAAGGGCACACCAGGAGUGGAGCCUGCGGCUUAAUUUGACUCAACACGGGAAAACUUACCAAGACCGAACAGUAGAAGGAAUGACAGAUUAAGAGUUCUUUCAUGAUUUAUUGGGUAGUGGUGCAUGGCCGUUCUUAGUUGGUGGAGUGAUUUGUCAGGUUAAUUC